GCAUGGCCGAAUUCUGUGUUACUCUGUCAGUAGUAAACUCAGUCAGACACCAUGCAACAUCAUCUGCACCUCUCAUGUCAUUUAAUGAUGGCAUUAAACCAAUACCAAUGUUUAUUAAUGAGAGCUGCCACACAG
Small nucleolar RNA from Misgurnus anguillicaudatus (oriental weatherfish), 135 nucleotides. RefSeq annotates it as small nucleolar RNA SNORA15. The record is from RefSeq and is a predicted model, not a curated record. NCBI's taxonomy places the organism in Eukaryota, Metazoa, Chordata, Actinopteri, Cypriniformes, Cobitidae.